Molecule: long non-coding RNA, 439 nt
Organism: Piliocolobus tephrosceles (Ugandan red Colobus)
Lineage: Eukaryota; Metazoa; Chordata; Mammalia; Primates; Cercopithecidae
Exons: 3
Source: RefSeq, a predicted model, not a curated record
CACGGGGGCGCACGGGGACGCGCAGGGGCGCGGAGGGACGGCGGUCUGGGCGCUUCUCCAGUUGCCUCGGAAUUCCCGGACCCCCGGCUCGUCAGCGACCCAGUCUGUGAUCCGUGCCCCUGGCCGCUCAGAAAUGCGCCUUCUUUCCUCCAGGCCCUGCUCCCGAAGCCCUGUCUGAGCUUUUAACUGUGGAGGCAGAAGCUCUGGGCUCCACCUCCACACGCUGCCUUUUACAGCCCAGUGGAUUUGUCACAAUACCUUUUGGCUUCAGUUACCUAACUGCCUAGAAAAGAAGGUGACUCCCACCUUCCUUCGAUAAAAGAAGAAUAAUGAGGAUCAAAUGGAAUGGCCACUGUCAUCACAGACAUCCUUCGUGGUAAUCUUGUCGGAAUCAAAGUGUGAGCAGGUUUGUUUAAGCUGAGAACUUGGGGAGGAAAAU